RNAcentral lists this unclassified non-coding RNA (233 nucleotides) under plant metagenome. RNAcentral describes it as "partial contains small subunit ribosomal RNA, internal transcribed spacer 1, and 5.8S ribosomal RNA". The stretch from base 1 to 54 matches the Rfam family "Eukaryotic small subunit ribosomal RNA", at positions 1778 to 1831 of the family's 1831-position model. The record is from RNAcentral.
GGAAGUAAAAGUCGUAACAAGGUUUCCGUAGGUGAACCUGCGGAAGGAUCAUUAGUGAAUUAAGCGCGUCUCUUAGGAGAGCGUGACCUCCACUUCUAACACUGUGCACUAUUUGGCGAGGUAGAGAAACGAGUCGUGUCGUCUCUCCUUGCGGCUUCAUUUUAAACACUAGUUAAAGUAUGUAACGAAAUAUCGAAACUAAAAAACUUUCAACAACGGAUCUCUUGGCUCUC